UACGUAGGGGGCAAGCGUUGUCCGGAUUUAUUGGGCGUAAAGCGCGCGCAGGCGGUCUCUUAAGUCUGAUGUGAAAGCCCACGGCUCAACCGUGGAAGGUCAUUGGAAACUGGGAGACUUGAGAGUAGGAGAGGAAAGUGGAAUUCCACGUGUAGCGGUGAAAUGCGUAGAGAUGUGGAGGAACACCAGUGGCGAAGGCGACUUUAUGGCCUAUAACUGACGCUGAGGCGCGACAGCGUGGGGAGCAAACAGG
Molecule: ribosomal RNA, 253 nt
Filed under: uncultured bacterium
Lineage: Bacteria
Description: partial 16S ribosomal RNA
Rfam family: Bacterial small subunit ribosomal RNA
Source: RNAcentral